Molecule: ribosomal RNA, 497 nt
Filed under: uncultured bacterium
Lineage: Bacteria
Description: partial 16S ribosomal RNA
Rfam family: Bacterial small subunit ribosomal RNA
Source: RNAcentral
GAUGAACGCUGGCGGCGUGCCUAAUACAUGCCAGUCGAGCGAACGGACGAGAAGCUUGCUUCUCUGAUGUUAGCGGCGGACGGGUGAGUAACACGUGGAUAACCUACCUAUAAGACUGGGAUAACUUCGGGAAACCGUAGCUAAUACCGGAUAAUAUUUUGAACCGCAUGGUUCAAAAGUGAAAGACGGUCUUGCUGUCACUUAUAGAUGGAUCCGCGCUGCAUUAGCUAGUUGGUAAGGUAACGGCUUACCAAGGCAACGAUGCAUAGCCGACCUGAGAGGGUGAUCGGCCACACUGGAACUGAGACACGGUCCAGACUCCUACGGGAGGCAGCAGUAGGGAAUCUUCCGCAAUGGGCGAAAGCCUGACGGAGCAACGCCGCGUGAGUGAUGAAGGUCUUCGGAUCGUAAAACUCUGUUAUUAGGGAAGAACAAAUGUGUAAGUAACUGUGCACAUCUUGACGGUACCUAAUCAGAAAGCCACGGCUAACUACGUG